UACGAGGGGGGCGAGCGUUGUUCGGAAUUAUUGGGCGUAAAGGGUGCGUAGGCGGCCUGACAAGUCUGAUGUGAAAUCCCUGGGCUCAACCCAGGGCCUGCAUCGGAAACUGUCGGGCUUGAGUAUGGGAGAGGUGAGUGGAAUUUCCGGUGUAGCGGUGAAAUGCGUAGAUAUUGGGAGGAACACCAGUGGCGAAGGCGGCCUUCUGGACCAGCACUGACACUCAAGCACGAAAGCGUGGGGAGCAAACAGG
RNAcentral lists this ribosomal RNA (253 nucleotides) under uncultured bacterium. RNAcentral's name for it is "partial 16S ribosomal RNA". It matches the Rfam family "Bacterial small subunit ribosomal RNA", at positions 524 to 776 of the family's 1533-position model. The record is from RNAcentral.